CUGUCCACAAGAAGUGUUUCAAGACUUUCUGAUCACCACGGCCCUUUAGCAGGUAAGUCACAUCCGCCCCCGACAGGGCUGUGUCACCCUAAUUUCCUUCCACAAGGCGAGAAGAACCUCACCUUUCCAACCUUGAAGAGGUGUGACGACGAAAAGACACCUCUCCCUACUAAUGGUCCAGACGGGUCAAACUUCAGAGGCGGCAUCCUGCACUUUGUUUUUAGCGCAGGCAAGAGGGGAAGAAGGGUUGGCGUUGGGAGCGGAAUCCCCGUGAUUUGCCAGAGGAAACGGCACCGACCAGACAGCACACACGCCAGCCUUUCCAUGCAGCUGCCACGACAGGGAGCCACCGUCUGUCUCCAUGAAAACAGUCACUGAAGUGCCUUUGAUGGUGGUGAUCUCGGAGAUAUUGUAUCUCUUUUUUUUUCAGUGAGUCUUACGGGGGAAAGACUGGAUUCAUUUUAACUCGCACAGAGAAAAAGCAUCCAGAGCCUUUCCCCUCUCUUAAAUUGAUGUCCUGCUAGGAACAGAAACUUGAUACACCUGUCCUUCAUUUUCCAUCACGUACACAGAAAUAGCGUUGAUGGUUGUGUGACUGUUCACGUAUGUGUAGUUUUAAAAAAAAACAAAAAACAGACAAGAGUGGCAUCUUUUCUCUCCUUAUUUGAGGCUUGCUUGAGUGCAGUCUGCUCAGUCGUGUCCGAACAUGCCCUAUAUAAUUAAAUGUAGCAGCCAAACAAGCCUUCGCCGUUUUCUUGGAUUUUUGCCUAUUUGCCAAAUUUUUCAAAUCAGCUUCAGCUUUAAGAAUUCUGGCGUCUGUGAUUUUCUGGUUGUCAGAAAAGAAGAGUUGGGCUAGAGUCUUUAAAUUCUGAAAUUCCGUGCCUAUGAUUUCACAAAUGUUGGCAAGUGCUGCCUAGAUUGUUUUAAAUUUUUAAACAAUAUUUGCCCCACGAUCAUAUGCACAUAAGUAAAAUGGGUUCAAGAGAAGUAUGAGCAUACACAUUUUGUAACAUCUCUAAAAUUAAUUUUGAAACCUUUUAGAAG
Molecule: long non-coding RNA, 1044 nt
Filed under: Bos indicus x Bos taurus (hybrid cattle)
Lineage: Eukaryota; Metazoa; Chordata; Mammalia; Artiodactyla; Bovidae
Description: lncRNA (ENSBIXG00005007036.1)
Source: RNAcentral